GGUUAAGCGACUAAGCGUACACGGUGGAUGCCCUGGCAGUCAGAGGCGAUGAAGGACGUGCUAAUCUGCGAAAAGCGUCGGUAAGGUGAUAUGAACCGUUAUAGCCGGCGAUGUCCGAAUGGGGAAACCCAGUGCAAUUCGUUGCACUAUCGUUAACUGAAUACAUAGGUUAACGAGGCGAACCGGGGGAACUGAAACAUCUAAGUACCCCGAGGAAAAGAAAUCAACCGAGAUUCCCCCAGUAGCGGCGAGCGAACGGGGAGCAGCCCAGAGUCUGAAUCAGCUUGUGUGUUAGUGGAACGGUCUGGAAAGUCCGACGGUACAGGGUGAUAGUCCCGUACACCAAAAUGCACAGGUUGUGAACUCGAAGAGUAGGGCGGGACACGUGGUAUCCUGUCUGAAUAUGGGGGGACCAUCCUCCAAGGCUAAAUACUCCUGACUGACCGAUAGUGAACCAGUACCGUGAGGGAAAGGCGAAAAGAACCCCGGCGAGGGGAGUGAAAAAGAACCUGAAACCGUGUACGUACAAGCAGUGGGAGCACCUUCGGGUGUGACUGCGUACCUUUUGUAUAAUGGGUCAGCGACUUAUAUUCUGUAGCAAGGUUAACCGUAUAGGGGAGCCGCAGGGAAACCGAGUCUUAACUGGGCGUUAAGUUGCAGGGUAUAGACCCGAAACCCGGUGAUCUAGCCAUGGGCAGGUUGAAGGUUGGGUAACACUAACUGGAGGACCGAACCGACUAAUGUUGAAAAAUUAGCGGAUGACUUGUGGCUGGGGGUGAAAGGCCAAUCAAACCGGGAGAUAGCUGGUUCUCCCCGAAAGCUAUUUAGGUAGCGCCUCGUGAACUCAUCUUCGGGGGUAGAGCACUGUUUCGGCUAGGGGGUCAUCCCGACUUACCAACCCGAUGCAAACUACGAAUACCGAAGAAUGUUAUCACGGGAGACACACGGCGGGUGCUAACGUCCGUCGUGAAGAGGGAAACAACCCAGACCGCCAGCUAAGGUCCCAAAGUCAUGGUUAAGUGGGAAACGAUGUGGGAAGGCACAGACAGCCAGGAUGUUGGCUUAGAAGCAGCCAUCAUUUAAAGAAAGCGUAAUAGCUCACUGGUCGAGUCGGCCUGCGCGGAAGAUGUAACGGGGCUAAACCAUGCACCGAAGCUGCGGCAGCGACACUAUGUGUUGUUGGGUAGGGGAGCGUUCUGUAAGCCUGCGAAGGUGACCUGUGAGGGUUGCUGGAGGUAUCAGAAGUGCGAAUGCUGACAUAAGUAACGAUAAAGCGGGUGAAAAGCCCGCUCGCCGGAAGACCAAGGGUUCCUGUCCAACGUUAAUCGGGGCAGGGUGAGUCGACCCCUAAGGCGAGGCCGAAAGGCGUAGUCGAUGGGAAACAGGUUAAUAUUCCUGUACUUGGUGUUACUGCGAAGGGGGGACGGAGAAGGCUAUGUUAGCCGGGCGACGGUUGUCCCGGUUUAAGCAUGUAGGCUGAUUGUCCAGGCAAAUCCGGAUAAUCAAGGCUGAGGUGUGAUGACGAGGCACUACGGUGCUGAAGUAACAAAUGCCCUGCUUCCAGGAAAAGCCUCUAAGCAUCAGGUAACAUCAAAUCGUACCCCAAACCGACACAGGUGGUCAGGUAGAGAAUACCAAGGCGCUUGAGAGAACUCGGGUGAAGGAACUAGGCAAAAUGGUGCCGUAACUUCGGGAGAAGGCACGCUGGUGUGUAGGUGAAGUCCCUGCGGAUGGAGCUGAGACCAGUCGAAGAUACCAGCUGGCUGCAACUGUUUAUUAAAAACACAGCACUGUGCAAACACGAAAGUGGACGUAUACGGUGUGACGCCUGCCCGGUGCCGGAAGGUUAAUUGAUGGGGUUAUCCGUAAGGAGAAGCUCUUGAUCGAAGCCCCGGUAAACGGCGGCCGUAACUAUAACGGUCCUAAGGUAGCGAAAUUCCUUGUCGGGUAAGUUCCGACCUGCACGAAUGGCGUAAUGAUGGCCAGGCUGUCUCCACCCGAGACUCAGUGAAAUUGAACUCGCUGUGAAGAUGCAGUGUACCCGCGGCAAGACGGAAAGACCCCGUGAACCUUUACUAUAGCUUGACACUGAACAUUGAGCCUUGAUGUGUAGGAUAGGUGGGAGGCUUUGAAGCGUGGACGCCAGUCUGCGUGGAGCCAACCUUGAAAUACCACCCUUUAAUGUUUGAUGUUCUAACGUUGGCCCCUGACCGGGGUUGCGGACAGUGUCUGGUGGGUAGUUUGACUGGGGCGGUCUCCUCCCAAAGCGUAACGGAGGAGCACGAAGGUUAGCUAAUCCUGGUCGGACAUCAGGAGGUUAGUGCAAUGGCAUAAGCUAGCUUGACUGCGAGCGUGACGGCGCGAGCAGGUGCGAAAGCAGGUCAUAGUGAUCCGGUGGUUCUGAAUGGAAGGGCCAUCGCUCAACGGAUAAAAGGUACUCCGGGGAUAACAGGCUGAUACCGCCCAAGAGUUCAUAUCGACGGCGGUGUUUGGCACCUCGAUGUCGGCUCAUCACAUCCUGGGGCUGAAGUAGGUCCCAAGGGUAUGGCUGUUCGCCAUUUAAAGUGGUACGCGAGCUGGGUUUAGAACGUCGUGAGACAGUUCGGUCCCUAUCUGCCGUGGGCGCUGGAGAAUUGAGGGGGGCUGCUCCUAGUACGAGAGGACCGGAGUGGACGCAUCACUGGUGUUCGGGUUGUCAUGCCAAUGGCACUGCCCGGUAGCUAAAUGCGGAAGAGAUAAGUGCUGAAAGCAUCUAAGCACGAAACUUGCCCCGAGAUGAGUUCUCCCUGAGACUUUAAGUCUCCUGAAGGAACGUUGAAGACGACGACGUUGAUAGGCCGGGUGUGUAAGCGCAGCGAUGCGUUGAGCUAACCGGUACUAAUGAACCGUGAGGCUUAACCUU
Molecule: ribosomal RNA, 2902 nt
Filed under: Klebsiella pneumoniae
Lineage: Bacteria; Pseudomonadati; Pseudomonadota; Gammaproteobacteria; Enterobacterales; Enterobacteriaceae
Description: 23S ribosomal RNA
Rfam family: Bacterial large subunit ribosomal RNA
Source: RNAcentral